This 407-nucleotide ribosomal RNA is filed under the name uncultured bacterium. RNAcentral describes it as "partial 16S ribosomal RNA". It matches the Rfam family "Bacterial small subunit ribosomal RNA", at positions 28 to 526 of the family's 1533-position model. The record is from RNAcentral.
GACGAACGCUGGCGGCGUGCCUAAUACAUGCAAGUCGAACGCAGUUGCGAACGGGUGAGUAACGCGUAGGUAACUGCCUCAUAGCGGGGGAUAACUAUUUGAAACGAUAGCUAAUACCGCAGACUGUGAGAUGGCCCUGCGUUGUAUUAGCUAGUUGGUGUGGUAAAGGCUCACCAAGGCGACGAUAGAUAGCCGACCUGAGAGGGUGAUCGGCCACACUGGACCUAUAACACGAUCCAGACCCCGACGGGAGUCAUCAGUAUGGUAUUCUCGGGAAUGGACGGAAGUCUGACCGUGCAACGCCGCGUGGUUGAAUAAGGUUUUCGGAUCGUAAAGCUCUGUUGUUAGAGAAGCGGUAUCUAACCAGAAAGAGACGGCUAACUACGUGCCAGCAGCCGCGGUAAUUC